CCUACGGGGAGGCAGCAGGGGGGAAUAUUGGGCAAUGGGCGCAAGCCUGACCCAGCAACGCCGCGUGAGGGAAGAAGGCCUUCGGGUUGUAAACCUCUUUUCUGAGGGACGAAGAAAGUGACGGUACCUCAGGAAUAAGCCACGCGUAACUACGGGCCAGCAGCCGCGGUAAUACGUAGGUGGCAAGCGUUAUCCGGAUUUAAUGGGGGUAAAGGGCGUGGAGGCGGGAAGGCAAGGCGGAGGUGAAAACUCAGGGCCCCAACCUGAGCCUGCAUUUGAAACUGUUUUUCUUGAGUGCUGGAGAGGCAAUCGGAAUUCGGGGUGUAGCGGUGAAAUGCGUAGAUAUACGGCGGAACCCCAGUGGCGAAGGCGGAAUGCUGGUGAGUAACUGACGCUGAGGCGCGAAAGCGUGGGGAGCAAACAGGAUUAGAUACCCCUGUAGUC
This 444-nucleotide ribosomal RNA is filed under the name uncultured bacterium. RNAcentral describes it as "partial 16S ribosomal RNA". It matches the Rfam family "Bacterial small subunit ribosomal RNA", at positions 338 to 795 of the family's 1533-position model. The record is from RNAcentral.